CGCUGUCACUCCUACGGGAGGCAGCAGUAGGGAAUCUUCCACAAUGGGCGCAAGCCUGAUGGAGCAACACCGCGUGAGUGAAGAAGGGUUUCGGCUCGUAAAGCUCUGUUGUUAAAGAAGAACACGUAUGAGAGUAACUGUUCAUACGUUGACGGUAUUUAACCAGAAAGUCACGGCUAACUACGUGCCAGCAGCCGCGGUAAUACGUAGGUGGCAAGCGUUAUCCGGAUUUAUUGGGCGUAAAGAGAGUGCAGGCGGUUUUCUAAGUCUGAUGUGAAAGCCUUCGGCUUAACCGGAGAAGUGCAUCGGAAACUGGAUAACUUGAGUGCAGAAGAGGGUAGUGGAACUCCAUGUGUAGCGGUGGAAUGCGUAGAUAUAUGGAAGAACACCAGUGGCGAAGGCGGCUACCUGGUCUGCAACUGACGCUGAGACUCGAAAGCAUGGGUAGCGAACAGGAUUAGAUACCCUGGUAG
RNAcentral lists this ribosomal RNA (473 nucleotides) under uncultured bacterium. Its description in RNAcentral is "bacterial SSU rRNA". It matches the Rfam family "Bacterial small subunit ribosomal RNA", at positions 328 to 793 of the family's 1533-position model. The record is from RNAcentral.